Molecule: long non-coding RNA, 478 nt
Organism: Amblyraja radiata (thorny skate)
Lineage: Eukaryota; Metazoa; Chordata; Chondrichthyes; Rajiformes; Rajidae
Exons: 2
Source: RefSeq, a predicted model, not a curated record
GAAACAUCCUCUCCACAUCUACUUUUACUGUUUGGAUCGCUCAGUAUUUGGGGGAACAAUGGGCCUUUGGGAUCUUCAGCAUUGCCCUGCCCUUCAAGUCCACGGCUGGUGAUCUAUCUCCAACAUUUUGCUGCACAGUGCCAGAGGGAAAGAUUGAGCAGAAGCCCAUUGGAGCUUCGUCACUACGGACUGCAACCUGUUCCAAAGAGAGAGGUCAGAUGUCACCAGAAACCCACUGUAACCACUCUGGAAACUGCUCUUCCAGGGUGCAGGACGUUACUCAUUACAUAUCCUUCCAAAGGUUGUCUAUGUAGACAGCAAGACUUAACCUGUUGGAGUCAUGAGGACCAGUGGGUAUAUUGUCCAGCUAAGGAGUUGUUCUGGUCCUGACCUCCCUUUCUUUUGCAGCAGGUGACUCAAAUCCCACCCACCCUUUCAAAGGUCAUUGUAAAAGCCUCUAAUAAAGAGCCGUGAUCUU